This 387-nucleotide ribosomal RNA is filed under the name uncultured bacterium. Its description in RNAcentral is "bacterial SSU rRNA". It matches the Rfam family "Bacterial small subunit ribosomal RNA", at positions 28 to 416 of the family's 1533-position model. The record is from RNAcentral.
GACGAACGCUGGCGGCGUGCUUAACACAUGCAAGUCGAGCGGUAAGGCCCUUUCGGGGGUACACGAGCGGCGAACGGGUGAGUAACACGUGGGUGACCUGCCCUUAGCUCUGGGAUAAGCCUGGGAAACUGGGUCUAAUACCGGAUAUGACUCCAUGACGCAUGUUGUGGGGUGGAAAGCCUUGUGCGGCUAGGGAUGGGCCCGCGGCCUAUCAGCUUGUUGGUGGGGUGAUGGCCACCAAGGCGACGACGGGUAGCCGGCCUGAGAGGGCGACCGGCCACACUGGGACUGAGACACGGCCCAGACUCCUACGGGAGGCAGCAGGUGGGGAAUCUUGCGCAAUGGGCGAAAGCCUGACGGAGCGACGCCGCGUGAGCGAUGAAGGCC